UUGGUCGGCACACGUGGGUUUUUGCUUUAAGCGUGGAUUGAAAGAUGCCUGCCUGUGCAGGAAUGUAGUUUUCAUGGAUGUAUUUGGAACUUUUUCAGCUCCUUUGGAGAGAGAAAGCGGACACUGAACCAUUACUGUUUCUUGUACUGGGAGGACAGCAAGCCCCAAGCCCUGGGUUCCCAAGCUCUCCAGCCAACAGCCGCAGUCCUUCAGUUCCAUCGGCAGCCUCGCUUCACGCUCCUGGAGCGGCCGCUGGCCGUAGACUGUGGGGCUUCCGGGCGCUGGGAGCUCGGCUGCUGCAAACCCUGCCCGCACCGCUCCGCUUGCUGUCGCUGCUCCCAAGGCAGCUGCAGAGACUUCUCAGCCGGGAGCAAGCAGCGCUUCGGCCGCACCGACAGCCGGUGCCUCUGGACACAGCGCCGCGUCCGCGCCUCUGCAUCCCCACGGCAUCAGAGCAGGCAGCUCUGUGCAUCGAGGAGGGAACUGAGGGCCGGAGAGCUGGAGCAGCUAAGGGCCAAGAAGAUCAGGCAAGGAAAAAUCCCUGAGGCCAUGACCAGCGGACCUUUCUACGACAAGGACUGGAGUUAAUUCUGAACUUAUGAGCCUUAAUUCCAUAGCAUCUAAGUCUAUUUAGAAGCCCUGUGCCAUAAUUCCAUAGGAUCUAAGUCAAUACUGAAGUUCUGUGCCCUCAUUCCAUAAUGCCUAACUUAAUUCUGAAGUUUAAGGCCCUAAUUCCAUAGCAUUUAAGUUACUUCUGAAGUUGUGAGCCUUAAUUCCAUAGGGCCGAAGUUGAUUUUGAAGCUCUGUCCCUUAAUUCCGUAGGAUGUAAGCUAAUUCUGAAGUUAAGUGCCUUAAUUCCGUAGGAUGUAAGUUAAUUGUGAUGGCAAGUGCCUUAAUUCCAUAGGAACUAAGUUAAUUCUGAAAACAUAUGCCUUAAUUAUGUAAGGUCUAAGUUAAUUCUGAAGGAAUAUGCCUUAAUUAUGUAAGGUUUAAGUUAAUUGUGAAGGAAUAUGCCUUAAUUACAUAAGGUCUAAGUUAAUUCUUAAGGUAUAUGACUUUAAUUACAAAGGAUCUAAGUUAACUCUGAAGGCACAUGCCUUUAUUCCAUAGGUUGUAAGUUAAUUCUGAAGGUAUAUGCCUUAAUUCCAUAGGGUUGAUAUUAAUUCUGAAGGUAUAUGCCUUAAUUGCAAAGGAUCUCAUUGAAUACUGAAGGAAUAUGCCUUAAUUAUGUAGUGUCCAAGUUCAUUCUGAAGGCAUUUGCCUUAAUUAUAUAGGUUCUAUGUUAAUUCUGAAGGCAUAUGCCUUAAUUAUGUGGGGUCAAAGUUAAUUCUGAAGGCAUAUUACUUGAUUAUGUAGGGUCUAAGUUAAUUCUGAAGGUAUAUACCUUCAUUCUAUAGGAUCUGAGUUAAUUCUGAAGUCAUAUGCCUUUCAUUCCAUAAUUAAUUCCAUAAUUAAUACGGCAUAUGCCUAUUUUAUGUGGGAUCUAAGUUAAUUAUGAAGGCAUAUGCCUUAAUUGCAUUGGAUCUAAGUUAAUUCUUAGGGAAUAUGCCUUAAUUAUGUUGCAUUUAAGUUAAUUCUGAAGGCAUGUGCCUUAAUUAUGUAGGGCUUAAUUUAAAUCUGAACGCUUAUGCCUUAAUUGCAUAGGAUCUGAAUUAAUUAUAAAAGCAUACGCCUUAAUUGCAUGGGGUUGAAGUUAAUUCAGAGGGAAUAUGCCUUAAUUCCAUAGCAUCUACGUUAACUCUGAAGGCAUAUGCCUUAAUUAUGUCGGGUCUAAGUUAAUUCUGACUGCAUAUGCCUGAAUUAUACACUAUCUAGGUUAAUUGUGAAGGUAUAUGCCUUAAUUCCAUGAAAUUAAACUUUAUUCUGAAGGUAUAGGCCUUAAUUAUGUAGGGUCUCAGUUAAUUCUGAUGGCAUAUCCCUUAAUUCCAUGGGAUCUCAGUUAAUUCUCAAGGCAUAUGCCUUAAUUACGUAAGUUGUAAGUUAAGUCUGAAGGCAUUUGCAUUAAUUCCGUAGGAUCUCAGUUAAUUCUUAAGGCAUAGGCCUUAAUUCCAUAACAUCUAAGUUAAUUGUGAAGGCAUAUGCCUUAAUUCCAUAGGUUGUAAGUUAAUUCUGAAGGCAUAUGCCUUAAUUAUCUUGGGAUAAAGUUAAUUCUGAAGGCAUAUGCCUUAAUUAUCUUGGGUUUAAGUUAAAUCUGAAGGCAUAUGCCUUUAUUAUGUAGGGUGUAAGUUAAUUAUGAAGGCAUAUGCCUUCAUUAUGUAGGAUCUAAGUUAAUUGUGAAGGCAUAUGUCUUAAUCCAUAGGAUGUUAUUUAAAUCUGAAGGUAAAUGCGUUUAAUUCCAUAGGAUCGGAGUUAAUUCUGAUGGCGUAUGCCUUAAUUAUAUAGCAUCUAAGUUAAUUGUGAAGGCAUAUACCUUAAUUAUUUAGGGUCUAAGUUAAUUCUGAUGGCAUAUGCCUUAAUAAUGUAGGGUUUAAGUUAAUUCUGAAGGCAUAUGCCUUAAUUAUAUAGGAUCUAAGUUAAUUCUGAAGUCAUAUGCCUUAAUUAUGUAAGAUCUCAGUUAAUUCUGAAGGCUUAUGCCUUAAUUCCAUAGCAUCUAAUUUAAUUGUGAAGGCAUGUACCUUAAUUAUGUAGGGUCUAAGUUAAUUCUGAUGGCAUAUGCCUUAAUUCCGUAGCAUCUCAGUUAAUUCUGAAGGUAUAUGCCUGAAUUCCAUGGAUUUAAACUUUAUUCUGAAGGCAUAUGCCUUAAUUAAGUAGGAUCUAAGUUAAUUCUGAAGGCAUAUGCCUUAAUUCCAUAGCAUCUAAGUUAAUUCUGAAGGUAUAUGCCUUAAUUAUGUAGGGUCUAUGUUAAUUCUGAUGGCAUAUUCCUUAAUUCCAUAGGUCUAAGUUAAUUGUGAAGGUAUAUGCCUUUAAUUCUAUAGGAUCUCAGUUAAUUCUGAAGGCUUAUGCCUUAAUUCCAUGGGAUCUCAGUUAAUUCUGAAGGUAUCUGCCUUAAUUAUGUAGAAUCUAAGCUAAUUCUGAAGGCAUAUGCCUUGAAUUC
Molecule: long non-coding RNA, 3034 nt
Organism: Tympanuchus pallidicinctus (lesser prairie-chicken)
Lineage: Eukaryota; Metazoa; Chordata; Aves; Galliformes; Phasianidae
Exons: 10
Source: RefSeq, a predicted model, not a curated record